CGAGCUAAAAACUUAUUUUUAUCAUUAUUAUUCAUGACGGCGAUGUUCAUUUUGUUCAACCGCUAGCUUUACACAGAAAAUCGCCAACAAAUAUUGUAUAAAUUCGAGUAAAAUCGUAUCUGAUUGACAAAAACAACAUUGUAAACACAUAACAACAUGAACAAUGGCGGCCGUGAAGACAAAAUUUUACUAAAUCGGAUCCGAUUCCGGAAGCGGAUAAGGGUAAUUCCGGGUUUGACGAUCAUUUACAAAAUAAAUCCAAG
RNAcentral lists this long non-coding RNA (263 nucleotides) under Mytilus galloprovincialis (Mediterranean mussel). Lineage: Eukaryota; Metazoa; Mollusca; Bivalvia; Mytilida; Mytilidae. The record is from RNAcentral.